CUCAGUCGCAGCGGCGACCCCUGAGACCAUGGUAGGUACACCACUGCACUCAGAUAUUUUUCAAACCAUGCUAAAAUGGUUUAACCCCUUAAGGACCAAACUUCUGGAAUAAAAGGGAAUCAUGACAUGUCACACAUGUCAUGUGUCCUUAAGGGGUUAAAAGAUUACACUGGAAAAGCACAAGGGCACUCCUGCCAUAUAUACUAUAGUGGGCUCUAGCUGUUAUGGUAAAUGGAGUGCAGGGCCGCCAUCAGAAAUUUUGGGGUCCCUAACACAGCUCAAGGUCUGGGCCCUGCCUCCAAGCCUCCCCAGGGUCUGCCUCUAAAACCCAGUGUGCGUUUGUGUAUUGGUUGCAGUGUUAAUGCAUGUGUAGCGGAUGCAAUGCGUGUAUGUAUGUAUGUAUACACACACACACAAUUUGUGCUUGAAUGUAAGCAUGUUUUUGUAUGGGGUAUGUGUGUGAAUCUUGGUGUUUGAAUGCAGGUGUGCAUUUGUGUGUAGUGUAUACACUUCCAUACAAUACUCAGACACAUACACUCACACACAUGCAAAUACACAGACACACAUAUACACACACUGACACACAUAUAUACACACGCACACAUACCCACACAAACAUGCACAAGCACUCAAACAUUGACACAGAAUACAUACACAGGCACAAACUUGGAUACACACAUUGAUACAAAAGGACACCGAUACACACACACACACACAAAGAUACACACAUACUGAAACAGACAUACACACAUACAUGUAUACAUUCUGACACACACAUACUGAAACAGACAUACACACAUAUACAGACACACAGACAUACAUAGCGGCACACAGACACAUACUAACCUGCAUACAGACACACAUAUGCAUAAGGACAUACAGGCACACACACACACACACACACACACACACACAAAUACAUACAUACAUAUUGACAUACAUACUGACAUACAGAUAGAUACAUACAUACUGACAUACAUACAUACAUAUACAUACUGACAUAUAUACAUACAUACACAAAUACAGACAUACUGACAUACAAACACACACAUACAUACAGAAACACACACAGACACUUUAUGUUUCUUACUGUAAGUAACCCUUUCCUCCAUUUGUUUUUCGGAUGAAAUUUGGUAAAAAAUAAUUAGUUUUCGUCCAUUACGAAAAUAGCACUGCACAUGCGCCCCCCCAAAAAAAGCAAGGAAGGGAGCCGGUAGCGCUAUCAGCUCCUUCCUUGUAAUAAAUAUUAACAAUUCCUACCACCCGGCAUUAAAACCUAUGGGGGUCACUAUAACACCCAUAUUAAUAAAAGGGAGGUUAAAUCCUCCCACAUGCCCCUUCUCACGGCAUGCUGUUGCUCGCUGUCAUUUAAAACUACUAAUUGCUGCCCAGUCGCUAGUGCAAUAAGGGGGUGAAAAGAAUAUGAUUCUGUGACCGGAUCAUACCAUUAUGCAUGGGCACAAAGCACCUGCAACUAAAUGUAUAUCCAUAUCUCAGAUUCAAUACACCAGUGAGACACUCCAGGGGUAUCUCGGGGCUUGACCCCAGAUAGAUCAAAAUAAAAAAAUGUAAGACCAACAUGUUCUCACAAUAAAGAUAUAGGGCCCAUCGGGUGACCCUAAAUGCUUGGGCCACCCGAUGGGCCCCAUCAGAGUGCGGGCCCUGGUGCAGCUGCACUGGCAGCAGUUCUGCUGCUACACAUGGGCCCGGCCCGCCGGGUCCCCCAGGACCACCAGGCCCCCCAAGCCAGUGACAAACGGCAUGGUUGUCACCCCCUGAUUCCAUUAAAGUUCAUAUGCUUUUCAACAUUUUACUCUGCUGCCCAGUGUAUGCACAUGGAAAUCUCAAAUUGCAUUCUUUUCCUUAAAAGUUGUUUCAUUUAUUGUCAGUUUCCAUAUAUCAGAGUUUACAAUUACAUUUUUGAGAGGGCCUGUUUUGAGAGGUUUGUUAUCUAUGUGAAAUUUGUUCCCACAUCCUUUGCAUCAUCAAAGUUUCCAUCACUUGUGUGACAUUAGGGAUGUUUUUUGAUUUCCAAUUUCUUGUGACUACUUUUUUAGUGGCUACAAAGAGAUGACAGUGCAUACAUUUCCAGGAUUUCAGGAGUGUUUGUGGGAAUAUGUGCAGUAGCCCAGGGGAUGGGUGGAAUAUGUGUGUUGACUAUUCGAGAGGCUAAAAGGAAGAUUUCCUUCUAGAGCAGUUCCAGAAAGGAACAAUUCAUCCAGAUAUGGGUUUAGAUUCCCCUUCCAUUGCACCCUCACCAUCAUCUCCCAUCCUGAAAGUUGAAGAUCUGGACAUAUUUCCGGUACCAGGUACCAUCUCAUUACCAGUUUAUAUUGUAGUUCUAAAUUAAAUGUGCAGUGUAUAAACCCUCUCAACAUGUCAGCUGCUUACUUCUACACCUCCUAAUAUAUUUUGUUUUAAUCCCUAUGCCCUUAUCCCACAUUUAGAACAUGAUUCUGGGCACUUCUGUGAUUUUGUAACAUAUUGCUAAGCUCUUUUUGGCCAGGACAUGUUUGGAUAUCAGUGGGGUGAAGUCAGACACCACUAGAUCUGAACCUUUCACCUCCUAUUUGUGUUUCCAAAGGAAAAGAUGAAUAGGUAGGUAUUUUAAAAAAAGAUUAGUUAGAAAGGUUAUCCUUGGUUGGUAUACCUAGGAAUAGGAGUAGCCUUUCCCACUGAUGUCUCCAAAGGUAUGUAAGACCCCUUUCUCCAUGAACAAAAAAAUAACAAAGUUACAUGCAUCUCUAAAUAUUCUAAGGGAAUAUCUUCAGAAGGGUUUGUGAGUAAAGGGUGGUUUCUCAGCAAUCCAUCCAAUAUAGAUCUACUCAUUGUAAGAAGAAGAUUUAUCAGAAAUUUAUAGAAAAAUGGGGGUAUGUUAUCACCAGAAGAGAAGUCCUAAAGUGCAUAGUGUAAUCUUUGUAAUCUAUCUAAAUAGACAAAAUAGUCAAGUCUAGAGUAGGUGUUGAACCUUUUUUUUGCUUCUCCAGCAAGUGCCUGUAUUUGUUUACUUUGUGAAUUAGGUCUUCUAAAGUAGUGGGAUGGAUGUUGAGCAGAGGUGUCAUGAGGAGGGUUGGCUAUCAUGUUCCCAUUCUAUCAAGUCCCCACAAAAAAAAAAUAUUCUAUCUUGUGUAUCAUCUUUGUGGAAUAGUUUUUGAAGGAAGGCUAUUUGUUGUGUGUUUGGGGCAUAUACAUUAACUAAGGUGUAUUGAACCUUAUAGUUUCCCUUGUUGAUGGAGUGUUUUUAGCGUAAGCAAAAUUAUACAGAUUUAUGGAUCAGGAUGGAUCCCCUCUAGUCGUGGAUAGGGCCAUGGAGUGAUAUCCCAAGGGAUAUUGUGGGAUAUGAAAGUACGGAUGUUUAACUUUGGAGAAGUGGGUUUCCUGUAAGCAUAGUUGGUGCACUUUAACUUUGGAGGCUUCUCUGUUCAUGUCUCUUCCCAUUAAUAGAUAGCUCUAGAGUCUAACACUAGCUAUAGAUAGCUCUAGAGUCUAGACCUAUGAUGUAUUAUGCAGCAUAAAGGGGAGUAAUGGAAUCCCAAAAAUGGGACCCCAGUCUUGCUAAGAGUGAGUGUUUAUGUGUUCGGUCUCUCGGAAGAGAUUUCCCAGUACCAGUAAUUUGGUCCUUACACAAAGGCAGUUGUAGACAUGCAACACAAAAACAUAACAAACUAUUUAGAGUUGAUAUAAACCCAAAGAAAUGAUUGAUCACUAUUGGCAAUAAUGAGCAAUAAUUGUUCAACCUAAGAUAUGGGAGAGGAGUGAGUUCCUUUCAUAGGACAUUAUAUAUAUGUUUUGACAAUACAACUUGCGGCCCAAUUGGACACACAUUAGGGAUUACUUAUUAACUUUACUCAAGGUUCCCUUCCCUUGUCAAAGUUCCUCACAAUGUUUUUUUUUGUUUAUUUUGUUAUUAAAUAUAUAUUAAAACUAAUACUCUAUUGUGUAACUGUGGGAUCAACUGUUAAGCUAGAAAAUCAAAGGUUUAUAAAUUGUUAUAUAGGUGACAUUGAGAUGUUAUGCAAAGGGUUGUACCCUUCAUGCCACUUAUAUUAUACUAUAUCCUUUCCCAAUAAGGUAUGCAUGUGGUACGGACAUUUUUAAGUAUCCCCUGUCACACAGACAGCGCAGCCUCACAUAGUCAUUUGGUACCGCACAAACAUUGUUGUUAGUAAAUGUGAAGUAUUAUCCAAUAAAAGUGGUGUUUAAAGUCAUGAGACAUGUGAGUAAAAGGAUACACAACACAGCACAAAAUCAACUGGACCAUAGCUUAUAUGGAUGGAAUAUUCUCUCAGUUCAUGGGCGUUAAUUUCAAUCUGGGGCUACAUGACAAGGAGAGGUCAUCUACUCUGGCCUCCACCUCCUCUGUUCUGUUCCCUAUGUCCAGAAUUUCCUUUUACCUCUUCAGUUAAUGCUUUUAUGUCAGCCCUGAUGCCUGCUAUAAAUUAUUACAGGAGUUCCCUGAUGUUUGAAAUAAUGUAGUGCUUAGUUGUCUGAACUGGGGUCAAGGCUCAUAAGGAUGUACUAGUGCCCUCUGAUUUGGCAGCAUUGGCAAUCUUGGCUUUAGUGUCCGUACACUGCAGGUUAAUUUGCCUCGCGUUUGGGAUCUCCAGUGCUUGCCUGUUGUUCGUUGUAUCUUGUAUGGGAGGGUAGAAUGGGUAGAGUACGAGAGGGUAGUAUGGGUCGAGUAUGGGAGGGUAGUAUUUCAUGUUUGCAGCAUUGUGCAGUGCAGGAGCUCUCACAAAGCAUGUCUGCUCCCAUUGGCUGUUGACCCCUCCCCCUCAAUUUGCAUUUUUUUACAGUAUGACAUUGGUGGCAUUUGUCUAGUCCUUGAACUUGAACUCCUAGAACUUGAUCAUGUUUACCCCUGAAGAAUUUUUUUUCAUGGAAGAUUAUGCCUUGUUCAGGGAUGUAAAAACAUUCACAUGUUUAUUCAGCUCUUUCAUGAAGGCUUCCCAGAAGAGCUUGCCCUGUGCCUGAGGGCCUGAGUUUUUAAGUGCAUAAGUCUGCCAGUUUUCCGUCAAUGUGUAAGAGUGCUGCUUUGCAUCUCUCCAAAGAGAGUGCUCCAUUUGUGUUUCCCAGGAAAUAGAACCACCUUUGUGCCCACUCAAAGGUGUUGUGCGCCCAUUUGUGUACCAUGUUCACAUCAAAUAACUCGGUUUAAGAAUGGGCACCAUCCAUCAGACACAUUAUGCGUGUGAGGGGCCCAACCACAUCCAGGAGCUUGUCCUGCGCACCGUUGAAACCUCUUUCAACACCUUUACACCCCUUUACGUGGUUCCCAGCCUUAACUUGCCAUUAAUGUCAACAUCAGCUGGUCAAAUUAUGGUGUCGGGGCAAUGAAGACCGCCGGACAACGGUUGCGGACCUUCUUCCACAGUGGAUUCCUUAGCUACAUGUACAUAAAUUUCAAGAGGAGGUCAGGUGGUGUCCAAUCCCCAGAGCAGUGGUGGCUUAUAUUGCGUGGGUUCAACAUGCCCGUAGCACUUAAAACGUCCUCCGCAUCCACCUGGGAAGAUGCCAAAAAGUCAGACCUCACUGUGGAGCCCCAAGCAUAAUCGUUCAAUCCAGAAGCAUUUGCUAGUCACUCAUCAAGUAUUGAGAGCGACGUGGGUAAGUUGUUGUCCUUGUCCAAGGAGUCACCGUGUGGCAGGAGUUGCGCAGGUGGGGCUGCAUGCAGCUUGCCACAUAUAAAGGGCUUUUUCCCUUGGCUUUUAGUUGCUGUGAACACUCAUCGGAUUCAGUCCUAUAGUGGGCAUGCUUGGUGGUAAAGGCAACUUUAGCAGGGUCAGAGCUUGUCGAGAACACCUUCGAAAGUGUCUUUUCUACUGACACAGCCAUUGCUGCAUUGAUCAUGGCCUGGUAAUAUACUGGACUAUUUUGUGAGUCCUCCAUAUUUAAUUACAAUCACAAGCCACUGGGGCUCACCUAAUGUAUAAAGUACCACAAGGGCAAUUGUAUGUAGUCAGACAGACCUCAGCAAUACUUAUUAGGCACUAAGGGCAGUUUUUGGCACAGGACCAGGUGCAGGCAAAAGUGUAUGGACAGUUUGGCAGUAUAAAACCCGGAACAGUAGAAAACCCGGCACAGUAAGAACAGGUCGUAUAACAAUGGUGCUCAAACAACUAGGUGUUCCAAUUUUAGUACAUGUGCUGUCAAAGUGAGCACCAGCAGGAGCAGUGAUGCAGGCAGGCACUGUGUGAAGGAGAAGUCAGCCCCCUAAUUAUGGCACUCGCAACCACACGGGUGCCCCUAUAUGGCCACCAUAUAGAUGCAAGAUCCAAGAUGGCUGCCGGAAACCACCAAUGAUUCCAAAAAAUUAACGAGUGGCGUGCGGCGAUACUACGGCCUUGCCCACCAGGAAGGGGAGAAACUAAUACCACAACCCAGAGGGAAAUUAAUACACCAGAGCCUGCCAGGAACAUUGGCACAUUGCAACAGAAGUGGGAGACUGCCAGUGAAAAGGGAAAAAACUUAUUGGGCCAGGCAGAGAGUGCCAGGAAAGGUACAAAUAAGCCCAGAGCCUGUCAGAAAAAUGAGAAAAACGGUAAUGGGGCAGAUGGAACCUGCAAAAAGGACUGCAAAAUACAUUUUAAAAGACUCCGUUUGGUUGGGUUCCCUCUGCUGUUCGGGAAGCGAACAGAUCCACUAACUAAAGACCACCCCGAAGCUUGUUAAACAUUAUUGACACCUUGGAACGGUUCUGCCAGCAGUGUUCUAAGUGUUCGUCUGGAUGGCUGCCGUUUGUAUGCCCAAACACGUGGUGGCGGCCAUCUUGUUCCCGCAAACGCAGGCAGCAGUGUUUGGUCGUCGAGUGCAUGGAACUGAAAUCAGACACUCGACCUCGCGAACAACACUGAAAUUCAAUCCCGCCUGCGUUCGGUACUUUACAACCUGGAAGUGCGUUGUUUGGUGUAAUUGUUCAUAUGAAUGAGGUGAACAAGCUCCAUGUUAUACUUAUGGAUUACGUUCGGUAUUUUGACUGGCAAAAGCACAAAACGCCCUGGAACUGUUUUGGGCAUAGGAUGUGUGUGGCUGGUCAGAACUUCCACACGGUGGCAUUUCACCUACACUGCCUGGAUCUGAGCGCUAUUUGGAGAACUUGGGCGCUCAGAUAAGGGCUAUUUGACGAUAUACAACUUGUGGGGGUCCCUAUCUGUAUUAUAUGCAUUUUUACGUGUUUUUUUAUAUUUUAUGUUUUACAGUGACACUGUAUUUCUUGGACAUGUUAUGGGUGUGUUUAUGGGUGUGUUUAUAGAUGUGUUUUGGGCGUGUCACUGUGCUCAGGGUUUUGUAUAUAAGUGAGCCAUUUGGCUGGAAAUAAACAGACUACCCCAGCAUUCAGUCUCGACUAAUGUCUGUAGGGGAAAGCUAUACUUGCUAUAAUCACUUACUAUACAGCUAAACUCUCUUGGAGGAGAGGUCUUCCCACUAGGAGCUAGAUCCAGGUGUUGGUCCAGGGUGGGAAGGGACGGCAAAACCCUAGCCAAGCUGCAGUGGCUAAGGGGACUAUGGAGCUUAUGGUGUCUGGUGCAGUGCUUAUGGUACUCGGCGACAACUAUGAAGCACAAUUGGCGGAGGUACCCAGUCAGGUUGCCAGACGGUCUGCCACAAUGGCUCAUAUGAACCCUUUCAGAGUUUCGUCAAGUCGAAGUAUGUGAAAUAACUAAGGCUUUUACUUGCAUUGCCUUCUACAAAGAACUGAUAUAAUGACCUCUUGUAAUGACUACAGAAUAUUUGACUCAUUGGUCAAACCUUGUCCAUAGCGUCUAACAGCAACAGUACUAGAGGACUCCAAACAGUUAAAGCAUCUUUCUAAAUGACCUUACUGUGAGAAGGUUUGGCUUAUUAUCUUAUGGGUAAUAAAGGUCAGUUCUUUAUCCAUAAAUACAAUAUGUGCGCCCAACAUCAUCUGGCUGCAUAGAGGGCCAUUCAGACUGCAAAGUCACCAUUGUUUGCCAUUGUGUCAUUGGGGCACCGUAUGGACAUAGGAAUGUCCCCCACUUUAUGUUAUGGAAUAUAUCACCAUCACCCGCCAGCAUGGGUGGGGACAGGGUGCUGGACAAUGAUCUAUCCACACAUUACUUAUCUAAAAGUCCCCCUCCUAAUGCACAUUGGUGGGCCAAGUUGCUAGUUUUAAAAAGUUCAUAGAUAUGCCUCCACUGUCACACUAAGGCUUUUUAUUUACAUUAAAAAAAAAAAAACUUUUUUAGUGUGGCUAGCAAGUACUGACCAGUCGCCACAUAGUUAAAGGGUCAAUAUAGUCACCAGAACAACUACAGCUUAAUGUAGUUCUGGUGUCUACAGCCUGUCCCUGCAGGCUUUUUAAUGUAAUCACUACCUUUUCAGAGAAAAAGCAGUGUUUACAUUGCUGGCUAGUAACACCUCUAAUGGCCGUCACUCAGAGAGCCACGAGAGGUGCUUUCUGGGUCAGUGCUGCAUUUUACUGACAGUCAUUUUACCACUAUAGUGUCAGGAAUUCAUAUUUGUGUUCCUGACACUACAGUGUUUCUUUAAGCAAAUUAAAGGAACAUUCUGGUCACCAUAACAACUUCCUCUAAAUGAAAUUGCUAUGAUGCCAGGAAGCCCCUGGGUGAUCUCUUUCCUUUAACCCCUUAAGGACCAAACCUCUGGAAUAAAAGGGAAUCAUGACAUGUCACACAUGUCAUGUGUCCUUAAGGGGUUAAGGGGUUAAACCGCUCUCACCACUGGAAUUUUUUUACACUUGCAUAAAAGUGAAUGACAUUAUUAUAAAAUGACAGGAGGCUUCACAGUUUGCUUAAGUCUUUCUUUACUUAAGCUCCACAGUAGCACUUUUUAACAUAGUAACAGGAUAACCAAUCAGAAAAAUGUAACAGGUUACACCAGUACAGGUCAGAGUGCCACUGUCUCCUACUCUCUGUGGGUUACUGUGGUUUAUGUAUUUCUUUAAUUCGUUUUUCUAUUUUGUAUAUUCUAUUUAGUUAAUUGUGUUACUUAUUUUUUGAGGAAUAGCUGUAUUGCAUAUAUAUAUACACAGUAUAUUACUUCAGCUUCCCUCUCUUUUUCUCUUUUCUGUAUUAUAUAUAUUUUUACCUUUUCCUUCACUCUUACUUCCAAAUAUUUUAUCUAUAUCUUCUAACUAUCUAUUGUAUUUUUACUUUCCCUUUUUCCUUUUCUACCUGUCACCCGGGUCGCGGCUGGCAUAUUGCUGCCCUGGUUUUGCCGGGCUUUCUGGGGCCGCGGGGAAUGCCUCCGACGGCCCCUUACAUCGCACGAUGGCCAUCUUGGAUCUCGCGCACUACUGCUAGAUCCAGGCGGCCAUUACAGCUCUCGUGCACCUGCGCGAGAUCGCGGCGCCCAUUUUGUGGAAGACGCAAUCUGUGCACAUACUGGCCUUGCGGCGGCCAUCUUGGUGUAACGCGACAUUCCGGCACUGCAAAUUUAUUCCCUGUAAACCCUGUAAGACUUACUUAAAGUAUCUUACACUAGGGUUUGCUCUAAUGUGGUGGGAUGUAGAGAUGGUGUUACAUGCAUCUUUCAGAAUACAUAUUACAUACAGUUUGGUGGCAUGCCUUUAGAAGUCCAAUCCGUGGAUUAAUCCUGUUUCAACUCUGUUCUCUCGUUUCAGUUUAAACGUUUCAAGAUGUCAAGCUUAGUUCCUGUUCCUCUCAAGUGUGAACUCUUCUCGUCUUGUAUGCUGAGAUCUUCUUAUAGUUCUUCUGCGGUUUUCUGUUACUUGUUCGUUUCGCAGCCAGAAAGAGGAAGUGACAUCAGUGGGAGGGAGUUUUGUAACCUGUUACUUUUUUCUGAUUGGUUAUCCUGUUACUAUGUUAAAAAGUGCUGUUGUGGAGCUUAUGUAAAGAUGACUUAAG
Pelobates cultripes (western spadefoot toad) is the source of this 9848-nucleotide non-coding RNA. The record is from the annotation of a GenBank genome assembly. NCBI's taxonomy places the organism in Eukaryota, Metazoa, Chordata, Amphibia, Anura, Pelobatidae.